ACUUUGUCAGAGCUGGACUAUCGUACACAAAAGUUACCGACAAACAAAUAUGUAAGUCUUGAAAUGAAUUUUAGUGUUAAUUCCGAGCACAUUAAACACUGUCGAGAGAUGCUUGUGAAGUUUAACGACAAUCUGAAAUGUUUCCAAAACUCUGAAUUGGACAAAUCUCUGAGAUUAUCCACGUCAAUUCCAAUUCUUCCGCCAUUUCUUGAGUUUUUCAAAUCAAUUAUCCAGUCAGAAAUGAGUGAUAACCCGACAUUAUUUGACAUUAUCAAAUCUGAGGAUCUU
Long non-coding RNA from Octopus sinensis (East Asian common octopus), 288 nucleotides. RefSeq lists it as uncharacterized. The transcript has 2 exons. The record is from RefSeq and is a predicted model, not a curated record. NCBI's taxonomy places the organism in Eukaryota, Metazoa, Mollusca, Cephalopoda, Octopoda, Octopodidae.